CCUACGGGGGGCUGCAGGGGGGAAUAUUGGACAAUGGGGGCAACCCUGAUCCAGCCAUGCCGCGUGUGUGAAGAAGGCCCUCGGGUUGUAAAGCACUUUCAGUGAGGAAGAACGCCUGGUGGUUAAUACCCAUCAGGAAAGACAUCACUCACAGAAGAAGCACCGGCUAACUCCGUGCCAGCAGCCGCGGUAAUACGGAGGGUGCGAGCGUUAAUCGGAAUUACUGGGCGUAAAGCGCGCGUAGGUGGCUUGAUAAGCCGGUUGUGAAAGCCCCGGGCUCAACCUGGGAACGGCAUCCGGACCUGUCAAGCUAGAGUGCAGGAGAGGAAGGUAGAAUUCCCGGUGUAGCGGUGAAAUGCGUAGAGAUCGGGAGGAAUACCAGUGGCGAAGGCGGCCUUCUGGACUGACACUGACACUGAGGUGCGAAAGCGUGGGUAGCAAACAGGAUUAGAUACCCCUGUAGUC
RNAcentral lists this ribosomal RNA (465 nucleotides) under Vreelandella stevensii. RNAcentral describes it as "partial 16S ribosomal RNA". It matches the Rfam family "Bacterial small subunit ribosomal RNA", at positions 338 to 795 of the family's 1533-position model. The record is from RNAcentral. Lineage: Bacteria; Pseudomonadati; Pseudomonadota; Gammaproteobacteria; Oceanospirillales; Halomonadaceae.